RNAcentral lists this ribosomal RNA (210 nucleotides) under Klebsiella pneumoniae. RNAcentral's name for it is "partial 23S ribosomal RNA". It matches the Rfam family "Bacterial large subunit ribosomal RNA", at positions 1420 to 1632 of the family's 2925-position model. Lineage: Bacteria; Pseudomonadati; Pseudomonadota; Gammaproteobacteria; Enterobacterales; Enterobacteriaceae. RNAcentral also lists the same sequence under 1 other name. The record is from RNAcentral.
GGGAAACAGGUUAAUAUUCCUGUACUUGGUGUUACUGCGAAGGGGGGACGGAGAAGGCUAUGUUAGCCGGGCGACGGUUGUCCCGGUUUAAGCAUGUAGGCUGAUUGUCCAGGCAAAUCCGGAUAAUCAAGGCUGAGGUGUGAUGACGAGGCACUACGGUGCUGAAGUAACAAAUGCCCUGCUUCCAGGAAAAGCCUCUAAGCAUCAGGU